This is a small nuclear RNA of Leucoraja erinaceus (little skate), 187 nucleotides long. RefSeq annotates it as U2 spliceosomal RNA. The transcript has a single exon. Lineage: Eukaryota; Metazoa; Chordata; Chondrichthyes; Rajiformes; Rajidae. The record is from RefSeq and is a predicted model, not a curated record.
CUCGCUUUUUGGCCUUUUAGCUAAGAUCAUAUUUGGUAUCUGUUCUUAUCAGUUUAAUAUUUGAUGCAUCCCUUAUUUAGCUGUUGGCGUGGUGCAGUGGUAGAGGUCAGAGUUCCGGGUUCGAUCCUAACUACUGGCGCUGUCUGUACAGAGUUUGCACGUUCUCCCUGUGACCGCGUGGGCUUUC